RNAcentral lists this ribosomal RNA (253 nucleotides) under uncultured bacterium. Its description in RNAcentral is "partial 16S ribosomal RNA". It matches the Rfam family "Bacterial small subunit ribosomal RNA", at positions 524 to 776 of the family's 1533-position model. The record is from RNAcentral.
UACGUAGGGGGCAAGCGUUGUCCGGAUUUAUUGGGCGUAAAGAGCGUGUAGGCGGUUUGGUAGGUCCGCUGUGAAAACUCGAGGCUCAACCUCGAGACGCCGGUGGAAACCAUCAGGCUAGAGUCCGGAAGAGGAGAGUGGAAUUCCUGGUGUAGCGGUGAAAUGCGUAGAUAUCAGGAGGAAUACCAGUGGCGAAGGCGGCUUUCUGGGCCUACCCUGACGCUGAGGAGCGAAAGCCAGGGGAGCAAACGGG